This 468-nucleotide ribosomal RNA is filed under the name uncultured bacterium. Its description in RNAcentral is "partial 16S ribosomal RNA". It matches the Rfam family "Bacterial small subunit ribosomal RNA", at positions 28 to 507 of the family's 1533-position model. The record is from RNAcentral.
GACGAACGCUGGCGGCGUGCUUAACACAUGCAAGUCGAACGGAAAGGCCCUGCUUUUGUGGGGUGCUCGAGUGGCGAACGGGUGAGUAACACGUGAGUAACCUGCCCUUGACUUUGGGAUAACUUCAGGAAACUGGGGCUAAUACCGGAUAGGAGCUCCUGCUGCAUGGUGGGGGUUGGAAAGAUUCGGCGGUUGGGGCUGGACUCGCGGCUUAUCAGCUUGUUGGUGGGGUAGUGGCUUACCAAGGCUUUGACGGGUAGCCGGCCUGAGAGGGUGACCGGCCACAUUGGGACUGGGAUACGGCCCAGACUCCUACGGGAGGCAGCAGUGGGGAAUAUUGCACAAUGGGCGGAAGCCUGAUGCAGCAACGCCGCGUGCGGGAUGACGGCCUUCGGGUUGUAAACCGCUUUCGCCGGUGACGAAGCGUGAGUGACGGUAAUGGGUAAAGAAGCACCGGCUAACUACGUG